This 91-nucleotide transfer RNA is filed under the name Acetobacteraceae bacterium. RNAcentral describes it as "tRNA-Ser". It matches the Rfam family "tRNA". Rfam says of the family: Transfer RNA (tRNA) molecules are approximately 80 nucleotides in length. Their secondary structure includes four short double-helical elements and three loops (D, anti-codon, and T loops). Further hydrogen bonds mediate the characteristic L-shaped molecular structure. tRNAs have two regions of fundamental functional importance: the anti-codon, which is responsible for specific mRNA codon recognition, and the 3' end, to which the tRNAs corresponding amino acid is attached (by aminoacyl-tRNA synthetases). tRNAs cope with the degeneracy of the genetic code in two manners: having more than one tRNA (with a specific anti-codon) for a particular amino acid; and 'wobble' base-pairing, i.e. permitting non-standard base-pairing at the 3rd anti-codon position. The record is from RNAcentral. Lineage: Bacteria; Pseudomonadati; Pseudomonadota; Alphaproteobacteria; Acetobacterales; Acetobacteraceae.
GGAUGGGUGGCCGAGCGGUCUAAGGCGCGCGCCUGGAAAGUGCGUAUACGUCAAAAGCGUAUCGUGGGUUCGAAUCCCACCCUGUCCGCCA